CAGAAGUCCAAAACCAGGGUGUCCACAGGGCUAUGCUCCCUCUGAAGUCUCUAGGUAAGGAUCUGUUCCAGGGUCCUCUCCUUUGGGUAGUUCUCUGGCUUGUAGUAAUAUCACUCUAGUCUUCUCCUUGUGUGACUACCUAUAUCCAAACCCCACAUUCUUAUAAAGACACCAGGCCUGUGGGAUUAGGAACUCACCUCACUCCAGCAUGACCCCAUUUCAAUAACCUAAUUACCUCUGCAACAGACUUCUUUUUAAUAAGGCCACAUUCUGAGGUGCCAGGCAUUAGGACUUCAACAUAGGAAUUUGAGGGGACAUAAUUCUACUCGUAUCAGUGUGUUAAUACUGUGCUUGUGUAUGUGUGUGUGUUUUUGUGUGUAAUUGGGUAUUCCAAUUCCAGUAGUCAAAGGCAAAUCAGCAGAAUCAUACAUUCCUCUCCCCUAAAACCAGAAGAAUUUCAUAUAGUGGUUUAUACUUGGACAAAAAAGUUAUUUUUCCCGUGUAGAACAAGUUAAACAAAAAUAUAGCUCGUAUAUUUGUCAUUUUCCGCUUCACCCUACUAAAAUUAGUCAUGUCUUCUCUUCAUUCCAUCAUGAAGAUAUUUAUCCGUUGACCACCAAAUGCAUUCAAGUCCCCACAAAGAGGAGAAAAUAGUAAUGGAGCAUCAGACAUCACCACUCCUGAAAGCAACCUUCUACAAGAAUUGAAAAGUGCUGUGGGACCUAAUACUGAAACAGGAAAUAUGGACUGUCUUCAAAUUGCACAAAUGAUGCAUGAAUCCACAUUUGAGCCCCGCAGCUCCGAGAUGCCUAAUGUGAAUGAUUAAAGGUAUUUUACAAACUGGGGAGCUCUUCCAAGUGCUUUCCACUUUCAACCUUCUCUGAGACCCCAAUUCAUAAUGGUGAGCAUAAAACAUGCAUACUUGGAAUUUUUAUGGGUCCCAUAUAUACAUUCCAGACUGCACAUGAAUGUCUUAAUCUUUGGUUCUGAUAUUUAUGGCAAAGUCGAAAUGUUAUAUGAACAUUAACCUUAGUUUACUCAAACUAUAUCAAUAUGCCCAAACCAUCCUUUUUUCUGUCCCCACAAGUGUUUCUAAAAGAGAAGCAAAAAGCUGGUAUACUUCUUGGAUGCCUAAGGAUUUAAGAUUUCCUACUCUGGUGAAUAGAAAAAGUAUAAACCAAGGAAUGCAAUGUUGUUGCCCUAGGAACUAGUACUUACAGACUAUCAAAGACUAAAACCACCACAAAAAGGCUCAAUGCCUGAUAAUCACCAUUUCUGUCUCCUAUGUGCCAAAAUAUAUCAAAACCAUAUGAUUUCCUAAGAAAAAAAUCCCAAGAUUUCCCCCAGUUGGUUUUAACACCAGUUGUUUUGCACUUAACAUUUCAAAAUGCAGCCUUAUUUUCUCCAGGUAAUAAUUUUAUGUGCAGAUACAUCAAAGCUGAAAGGAUGAUCAAACCCUGCUUGUGGGUGUCAGAAAUAAUGCAUCCCCACUUCAUUCACAAUAAUGAAUGCUCAAUGAUUUUUUAUAUCACUGAAGAAUUUAGCAUCUUUGGAACUCAACAAUAUUCUCCAUCUCCCAGAAGCUGAUAACAUCCCCUCCCCACCAAGAUACUCUGCCUCCCUACUGCUCACUGCUUUGUGCCAUCAACAUGGUUAAGCAUGUGUGUGUUAUUGCACUAUGAAGUAGCUGAAGAUCUCAGAACAGAGAGCCACACUCUUUUUGUGCAAAUGAAUGGCCAAACCAACAGACAAGUAAUCGUUUUUUUAGAAUGCAGGGUCUAGCCGCCUAACUUAUCUUUAUAACCACAUCACAUCCAAUGAGUUGGGAAUGCUUAACGAGAAAGCUCACGUACUUCACACAGAAGAAAACACACUUUAAGUCAUCAAGUUGUGUCAAGAAUAAAAGGAAAUUUCCACGGCAGUGAUAAACAACGUUCUUGUUUCAGUUGUUUUUCCUCUAAGUAAUGGGGGAUCUUAACAUCUUCCGACAUUUUCUGGUUCUGAAAGGAAGAUUGGAAACAAAUGUCAUUGUGGGGACAAAAAAAAAAAGUCUAUUAAACAAAGAAAAAGAAAACCAAGAUCCAACUGUAUGUUGUUACAAUAGACUCUUGCUCUAUAUUUAGCAGAAGGAAGAUUAGACAGAAAAAAAUGAAGCAGAAAUGAAGUUGCACAUCUUAAAUAUAUACAAUGUUUAUUAUGCUUUAAAAAAAUCUAGAAUGAAAAAUCCAUUAAAAAAAAGAAAACCAAGAUCCAGCUGUGUGCUGUCUAUAUGACACUUGCCUUACUUUCAGCAGGAAAUAGAACAGAACAAAUAAAUUAUGCAGAAAUGAAGUUGUGCAUCUUAAAUAUAUACAAUGUUUAUUUGUCAACUAUACCUUAAUAAAGCUGGAAAAAUUAAAAAUAGAAAAUAUUUGGGCCAGGCGUGGUGGCUCACACCUGUAGUCUCAGCACUUUGGGAGGCUGAGGCAGGCAGAUCACGAGGUCAGGAGAUCGAGACCAUCCUGGCUAACACGGCGAAAACCCAUCUCUACUAAAAAUACAAAAAACCAGCCAGGCGUGGUGGUGGGUGUCUGUAGUCCCAGCUACAUGGGAGAUUGAGGCAGGAGAAUGGCGUAAACCUGGGAGGUGGAGCUGGCAGUGAGCCGAGAUCCAGCCACUGCACUCCAGCCUGGGCAACAGAGCAAGACUCCGUCUCAAAAAAAAAAAAAAAAAAAAAAAAAAGAAAAUAUUUAAAAACUCUUAAAAUCGUAUCUGGAAAUAAAUAUCAGUUUUCAAAACAUUGUUUUUUUACGUUUUGCCAUUUGUUAAGGAUUUUGACGAUCUUAAAUGAAUUGAGUAACUUUCUUUUUGGUUAAAACUAAUAUUUGUAGGAACUUCUUUUUUUUAAUAUGGCCUUGUUGGUCUUUAUAACUUCUGAAGUGGUGUUGUCAUUUUCUCCACUUUACAAAAUAAAAGCAAAGUAUGAUUCUUAAAAGUC
This is a long non-coding RNA of Symphalangus syndactylus (siamang), 2977 nucleotides long. RefSeq lists it as uncharacterized. Lineage: Eukaryota; Metazoa; Chordata; Mammalia; Primates; Hylobatidae. The record is from RefSeq and is a predicted model, not a curated record.